This 2417-nucleotide long non-coding RNA is filed under the name Heterocephalus glaber (naked mole-rat). Its description in RNAcentral is "lncRNA (ENSHGLG00100045426.1)". Lineage: Eukaryota; Metazoa; Chordata; Mammalia; Rodentia; Bathyergidae. The record is from RNAcentral.
GGAGACGUGAGCUCUCUGGCCUCCCAGAUUUUAACCUGUUUCUGUGUCUCUAUUUUUCAUUCUUAUCACCCCUUGGCCAGGUUCGAGCUCAGCUGGUGGGCUGGUUCCUGCCCUCCCAUCCCUCUGGUCUUGAGAAAGUAGCCCAGCUUGAGCAUUUUUCACGUGAUACGUUUGUGAGAGCGUGAAAAGGGUCACGCAGCCUUCUGUGGUGUCAGUUAAAGCAAGUCACUGGGCCAGCCUGGGUUCAAAGUGAUGGGAAACCUACUCUACUCUUGAGGGGAGAAGGGUACAAGCUCGCUGCGAAAAAAAAAAGGGGGCACGGUUAGGCUGAGUAAAAGAAGCCAGACAGGGCUGGGGAUUUGAUUUAGCUCAGUGGUUCUGUCUGCCCUGUAAGUGCAAGGACCCGGGUUCAAUCCCGGUACAAAAAAAAGCUAGCCACAAAAGAGUGCAUUGUUUGAUUAUAUGAAAUUCUAGAAAAGGCAAACUAAUAGAUAGUGGCGGAAAGUAAAUCACUGGUUGCUCAAGGCUGGAAAGAAGGGAUUGCUAGCAAAGGGGGAUGAGGGAAAUUGAGGGCGUAGUGGCUAUACCCCACACCUUGAGUGGUAAUAUAUACAGAGAUGUACACGUUUGUGAAAGUGCAUGAUUUUACAGUAAUUAGGUAAAUAUCUUAAAAAUAAGAUCGGAAAUGGGAAGGAUUGUUGAGACCAUCUUCAGAAAUAACCAUAUGUGAAAGCUUAGAUCUGAAAGGACAUUAGAAGAUCUUCUGGUCCAAUGUCCUACAAAUAAGGAAAGAGAGGCCCAGAGAGAGCAACUUGCCAACUUAGGGAGUCAGUAACAAAACUAGGAUUGGAAUCUAGACUAACCACAGCCUUGCUGUCAUUCCUCCCAAACCCUCUGAAAUCAGGGAAAGGACACCCUAGGCUCGCAUCAACAAGACUCCCCUACAUAUAAGAGCUGGGCCACACGAACUGUUAGUGUCCUUUUGCACUUUAUAAGCUUUUAGGGUUUUUGUCUGUUUUGUGAUGGGGCUCAAACUGAGGGUCUUCUACGUGCUAGUCAAAUGCUCUGCCACUGAGCUACAUCCCUAGCCCUUAGUGUGAAAAGUUAGGAGCAGAGACUGUUGUGCUCUGUUCCUCAUCCUGAGACACUAACUGCUCUGAGUUGGUGUGUCUAAUCCAGGUGACUGGAGCAGUGUUUAUAAAUAGAACACUGAGGGGCGGGGGGAAGAAGAGCAGCUAUGCCAUAGCCACCUGUUUUCCACAGUGCUAUUUUGAGUUUCUCAGGGCCUUGGCAGGAAAGGACAUGGAGGGCUAUGGAACUAUUGAGGCAUUAUUAAAUUUUACAAAGUUAAUAAACUUGUAAAGUGAGAAUUGUUGCCAGGUUUUAUAAAGUGCUUCAUAGAGUAGGUAGAAUUGAACUAAGAAAUAGUAUUGCAACCAAUAGUAAUACAGCAUGCAAAUGUAGCAUGUAGGGAAUUUUUAAAAAGUGAAGAGAGUCCACUUUUAACAUACUUUCUUUGCUCAAAAAAGCAAUUUGAACUUUAUCCAAGUGUCUCAGACAUUUAUCAGAUGUAUUCAACUUCUUUGGAUACCAAAGAACGUUUUAAAAACUACAAGAGAUGCCAGAAUGCUGUCAGCUGAAAUUAUUUGCUUGCUGGUACAUCAGAGAGUAAUACCCUGCUGGUCUGGGGCAAUUACCUAGAGAACAAUGGAUUUGAACUGAGAAUGGAAUCUGAACUUUUUUCUGCAGAAAGUCACAUGUGAAAAUUGAAUGAUUCAACGGGAUAAGGCAUCUCCUCGUAUUUGCAGAAUCAGAUUCUGCCCUCGUAUUUAUCGAUCACGGUCACGGUUGCUGGGGAAGGGGAAGCAGGAGGGGUGAGGAAAACGUGCCCAGGGGACUGAGGAAAUGAGGAUGAAGCGCCCUCCCAGGACAUCUUACCUACCAGAGGCUGCCGGGAUUGAACUCGGGUCCUUGAGCUUGUGAAGCAGGUGGCAGAACCACUGAGCUACAUCCCCAGCCCGCACCUGUUUUUCAAAGUGAUAUUCAGCACUUCUUUACCUACCAGCUAGGAAGCUGUAGUAUUUUAACAUUACCACCAGUUGUAGGUAAUCUUUAGGUGCAAAGCAAAUUUGGAAAAAUGGUUUCUAAGCACAAUCACCACCGACGCGUUGGCAAUAAGUAGAUGUUACAGUUUGUUCAUUUCCACAAAGUCCAAAGUCCUCUGCGCUAACAGUGAGUUUCCAGGUUGCUUAUCGGUGUGGUUAAACAGGUGUGAUACCAAUAUGGGCAGCACUUUGGAGAAUAAACAACUUCGUUGAAUGAGUUUGCAGAAUACUAGCUAUUUUGGAAGAACAUUUUUUAAAAAAAUCACAUCUUCAACUUAACAUGGCCUUUUAUUUUAAAAAAUUAUAAAUGUU